CCUAUCAGGUUGUAGUGGGUGUAACGUACCUACUAGCCAACGACGGGUACGGGUUGUGAGAGCAAGAGCCCGGAGAUGGAUUCUGAGACAUGAAUCCAGGCCCUACGGGGCGCAGCAGGCGCGAAAACUUUACAAUGCGGGAAACCGCGAUAAGGGGACACCGAGUGCCAGCAUACUAUGUUGGCUGUCCACAUGUGUAAAUAGCAUGUGUUAGCAAGGGCCGGGCAAGACCGGUGCCAGCCGCCGCGGUAACACCGGCGGCCCGAGUGGUAAUCACUUUUAUUGGGUCUAAAGGGUCCGUAGCCGGUUUGAUCAGUCUUCCGGGAAAUCUGAUAGCUCAACUAUUAGGCUUCCGGGAGAUACUGUCAGACUUGGGACCGGGAGAGGUAAGAGGUACUACAGGGGUAGGAGUGAAAUCUUGUAAUCCCUGUGGGACCACCAGUGGCGAAGGCGUCUUACCAGAACGGGUCCGACGGUGAGGGACGAAAGCUGGGGGCACGAACCGGAUUAGAUACCCGGGUAGUCCCAGCCGUAAACGAUGCUCGCUAGGUGUCUGGAAUGGUGCGACCGUUUCAGGUGCCGCAGGGAAGCCGUGAAGCGAGCCACCUGGGAAGUACGGCCGCAAGGCUGAAACUUAAAGGAAUUGGCGGGGGAGCACCACAACAGGUGGAGCCUGCGGUUUAAUUGGACUCAACGCCGGAAAACUCACCGGGGGCGACAGCAAUAUGUA
This 730-nucleotide ribosomal RNA is filed under the name uncultured archaeon. RNAcentral describes it as "bacterial SSU rRNA". It matches the Rfam family "Archaeal small subunit ribosomal RNA", at positions 221 to 951 of the family's 1478-position model. The record is from RNAcentral.